AACGAACGCUGGCGGCAGGCCUAACACAUGCAAGUCGAACGGAUCCUUCGGGAUUAGUGGCGCACGGGUGAGUAACGCGUGGGAACGUGCCCUUAGGUACGGAACAACAGUUGGAAACGACUGCUAAUACCGUAUAAUAUCGAGAGAUCAAAGAUUUAUCGCCUAAGGAUCGGCCCGCGUUAGAUUAGAUAGUUGGUGGGGUAAAGGCCUACCAAGUCUACGAUCUAUAGCUGGUCUUAGAGGAUGACCAGCCACACUGGAACUGAGACACGGUCCAGACUCCUACGGGAGGCAGCAGUGAGGAAUAUUGGACAAUGGGCGAAAGCCUGAUCCAGCCAUGCCGCGUGAAUGAUGAAGGCCUUAGGGUUGUAAAGUUCUUUUAGCUGUGAAGGUGAUGACUGUAGCAGCAGAAAAAGCCCCGGCUAACUCCGUGCCAGCAGCCGCCGUAA
This 449-nucleotide ribosomal RNA is filed under the name uncultured bacterium. RNAcentral's name for it is "partial 16S ribosomal RNA". It matches the Rfam family "Bacterial small subunit ribosomal RNA", at positions 29 to 523 of the family's 1533-position model. The record is from RNAcentral.